UGGGCGGGGACGGUGGCGGCGGCUCCGGCUUUGGGGAGGGGGUGCGGCGCUGGGCCCCCUUAGCUGGAGUGCAGGCUCCGCCCACCCUUUGGGUCUAACCUCCGCGUUCCAAAGUUCCAGCUCCAGCCCUGCGCACUUGGGGACUUCUGCGUGAGGGUCUCUCGCCCCGGCCACAAAUCCCGAGCCGCACCUCUUAAUCGAGGCUCAGGCGUCCCGAGCGGAUCCCGCUUUCUUUUUUCCCUGUGCUGUUUGCAGUCCCACGGCCUCGCACAGAGAAAGUGCCUGACCCCAAGACCUGUGAUGAGACCGCCUAUUUUGUUUUUGUUAUAUACUAAUAGAUAUAGAUAUAUAGAUACAGUCAAUUAUCUGUAAAAUCGGCCAUGUCUCUGCCACCUGGGUAAAAAGGUGUCUCGAAAUUGGGGGCGGAGUCUCUUUUCUGACCCUACCCAAACGCACACAGAAACAACCCCAACAUUUGCAGAGCCCUUAAGCCUGUACACCCAAUGAGGAAUCGCUGGUUAGAGGCCGCGUGAAGGACACCCUGACCAAGCUGGGUCCUGCCCAUGCCGGUAGAUCGUCCAUGGCUUCCCUUGGGGGCUGCCACCCACUGUAAACCUGAGCAAGUUCCUCUCCUGUUCCGAAGCCUGCCCUGGCAAAGCCCCAGUACAUAUUCCAAUCCUGCUCUAGGGAGACUCCUAUGCAUUCAUCAAGGUCCAGCUCAAAUCUGGCCACCCUCAGUGGCUUUUCCUGACGCUCUCAGCAGAACCAAACCUCCAGCUUUGUUAUGUGUUGGUGUUGCAGUACACAGUGAAGCAGGACAGCCCUCAUCUCCUUGAGAACAAGAACAAAGCCUGACAUCCCAGCAGCUUGCACAGUGCUGGCGGGGCACGCUGUAAGUGCUCAGCUGAUGGUUGUUGAAUUGCUCUGAAUGGAUUGUGAGCAAGAGACCAGCAGGGGUGGAGGCUGACAGGAGAGACAGCGCCUGCCUCUGUACUCUAAAGUGCCGGGGAACUCGUGGUGAUUUGGAUCCAGUUCAGGCACCUGAAGCCCAGUUAAAGAGAAGGAAUCUUCAGUCUUUUCUCUCUCAGCAGAUACAGCCGGGCACGGUGGCUCACACCUGUAAUCCCA
This 1128-nucleotide long non-coding RNA is filed under the name Homo sapiens (human). Its description in RNAcentral is "HSALNT0290106". The record is from RNAcentral. Lineage: Eukaryota; Metazoa; Chordata; Mammalia; Primates; Hominidae.